Peromyscus californicus insignis is the source of this 3577-nucleotide long non-coding RNA. RefSeq lists it as uncharacterized. The transcript has 4 exons. The record is from RefSeq and is a predicted model, not a curated record. Lineage: Eukaryota; Metazoa; Chordata; Mammalia; Rodentia; Cricetidae.
GAGAAGGGGAUCCUUCCCGGUGGGGCUAGCAGGGAACUUGCCGGUGGCCAGAACCUGGGGCCAAGUUGGGCAGGUCUUCCCUGGAGUGGCUGGUGCCCAGGGAUGGGGUCUAGGGCAAGGAAGGGUACUCACCAGUUUUCCAAAAGGGAAGUCCGGAGCAAGAUGGGAGCUGGGGGCCGGCCUCUCCCAAUAUGUAUAUUUUAAAGAUACCUUGACUUCAAAAUUUGGAUGUAAAGAUGUGUUGCUUUGGAAAGGAGACUCUGCUUUUGUUCCUACAGAAAGCCAAAGGCUGUGGAUUUGUUCCAGAUUAAGGUACAUCAGGUUUGACCAGCCAAGACCCCCUGAAAGGUCUCCGAUGACACCAUGACCCAGAUGAUCCAACAUCCAGAAUGGUUUCAAGGCAACUGGAUCAAACGAUACACCCUCAUGGACUAUUCCAUAAUCCUAAAAUUUUCUUUGUGUCCCCAUAAGAUACAGUGCCCCCCUCCAGCAGGAAGUAGUAAGAGAAGCUAUGCCCAAAUUCCCAAAUUAUAUGUAAUUUUACUUUGUUAAGGUUAAAACCUUCCUUUUUGAAAAAAAAAAAAAAAAGAAAAGAAAAAAAGAAAAGGAAAGGGGAAGUGCUGUGGGAUGAUCUGUAUGUCACGUGUGUUGCUGAUUGGUCAAUAAAUAAAUCACUGAUUGGCCCAUGGCCAGGCAGGAAGUAUAGGCAGGACAAGGAGGAGAAUAAAGCUGGGAAGUGGAAGGCUGAGUCAGAGAGACACUGCCAGCCACCACGAUGACAAACAGCAUGUGAAGAUGCCGGUAAGCCACGAGCCAUGUGGCAAGGUAUAGAUUUAUAGAAAUGGAUUAAUUUAAGCUGUAAGAACAGUUAGCAAGAAGCCUGCCACGGCCAUACAGUUUGUAAGCAAUAUAAGUCUCUGUGUUUACUUGGUCGGUUCUGAGCAGCUGUGGGACUGGCAGGUGAGAGAGAUUUGUCCUGACUGUGGGUCAGGCAGGAAAACUCUAGCUACAAUAUGUGACAUAAAAUACAGUCUAUAAAAACAGAGCCUAGACUGCCUUUCACUGUGCACAAACCAAAACUCAUCCUUUUCUCAGGUAGAUGCAGAGAAAAUGCCCUAGUAUCAGAAGUAGGACUUUGAAAACCAAACCUCUACCAAGGCUACUCAGCAUGAAUACACAGUGUUCAUUUCCAUCAAAGCUUAUAUUUUACACCUUUAAUGUCAAAAUAAAGUGACAAAUUUGGGUUUAUAGCUCACCAUAUGCUUGCAACUUCUUGGCCAUUUGGGAAGCAUAUUGAAGCUAUAGAGUGUAAAAUUAAGCUGUAAGAAUGUUGUAAACUGAGUUAAAUAAGGUGUAAGGUUAAAUUAUACAACAUUCACUCAUUUUCUGCUAUGGUUUUGAUUAAUUUUUUUAGCCAUUAAUGAAAACACAGGUUUUUGGAUUUGAGUCAUUAAAUGACCAACAUAAUUAAAUUUUACUGGGUACUAGGAAGCCACAAAGGAAAAUCCACGUGGAACUAGAACCAUUAGAAGGAGCUUGUUUGUGACAGUCAACAGGCAAUUUAUUUGGAAAUAAGGAUGAUUAUAUCAUCAACAAAAGAGUAACCUCCAGUUAUAAAUGUUACAGAAUAAAUGAGGGAUUUGAGAAAAAGCCAAAUUUAGUGAAAUGGACUGAUUAGGAAAAUAUAUUGCUCAUAAAAACCAGAAACUUUUCCUGUAACUUAUUCAUGGCAAAUUGUUCAAAAAAUUCAUUAGGCAAGCUGAUGCCUUUGGAAGAGGAGGUAGACUUUCUCAUGACAAUAACUCCACAAAUGUGUUCUCUCAGGAAUACCCAACUCGGCAACUAAUCAAACAGAGCAUUUCUUGCUUUUUAUCAUUCUCUAAUUUCAAAUUUUGUCAUUGGCUAGAAAUCUAUUUUCAGUGUGCACAGCAGUAAUUGAGGUUGAAAAAUUUGUUUAGCUUGCAAACCAUCACUGCAAAUCAGAUGCAGAUUUACAGUUAAGUCAGUUAAUGUUUUACCAUGAUUUCCUAUAAUAUAAAAAUGUGAAUUUUAUUUUUUAACCUUCUAAGUUUAAACAAUGAGAGUAGUAUGUAUGAUUGUAUUGUCACGGACUGAAGGAGAGGUUGCUUAUUCUAAAAAAUGCAAAUGAAAUCUAUUUUAAGUAUGAAAAGGGUUUUAUGAACUUAAGUUUCUUUCUAGUCCCUGCCAAAAUCUCAGCAUGAUGAAAGAAUCAAUGGCAGAGCGUUGUCAUGGUGACUGUGGUCCAACUCAGAAGGACUAGGUAGAUGGUUUCCAUUAUAAACUACAUGUUGGUAAAUGUCAUAUGCUACUUAGAAUUAGUGGUUUUAGGGAAGCAGUUGAGGAAUAGCACUUCUUGUGUUAGAACCUCACAUUUUAGUCUAACUGGGGCUGUAUGAAAUGUUAUAAAACAAAGAUGAAAAGCAACAAAAACAGUGCUUUGCUCUCAAUAUUCUCCCUUCCUUUCCCUGACCAGCGUUCCUGACCUGCUACACUGCAAUUUUCUCCUUGAUAUGAUGAGCUGCCUCAAACACCUGCCACUGUGACUGCCCCAGCAUGAUGGGCUGGAACCUAGAAUGUGUCCCAGAGAUGACUUUAAGACCACUGGUCUCUGCUAAGGCCACUCCAGGUCUCCUGACAUCUUGCUCCUUAGGUGGCUGGAUAGUGUCUUCCAGACUCCACCCUUCUCCUGUACCUCUGCUUGGAUUUCCUGCCUGGCUCUAUCCUGUCUUGCCAUAGGCCAAAGCAGCUUUACUCAUCAACUAAUGAGAGCAACACAUAUUUACAGCAUAAAGAAAUACAUCCCACAUCGAAGAUGAGACCCCCCAAUUAUGUUUCUUCUGAAAUGAGGACUAUAUACACUAAGCUGGAAGGGUAGAAAAUAACAAGCCACCAGGGACAUGUCUGUCUCUAGGAUUUUAGUAGGAAACAAAUGAUUGUCUGUAUUGCUUAACAAAACUUGAAAAGUGUGCUCAUUCCUUUGUCUUAGUGUGUCACUCUAAGCAGUGAUGAAGAACUUGUUACCCAUUGCUUUCUGUGAAGAUCUUGGAAGUGGAUGAGAAGAAACUCCAACUUAUUUGUGUUACUUUAUUUUGGCAACUCAAUCUAUUUAGAGAAAUGGAGAGCCAAUUGUUUGUGUUGUUUAUACCAUGAUGCAAAAAGAACUUACUAGUGACUAAUAUUAGAAUUUUGAUUUUCUGUGAUUCUUUUUUGAUCCAAGUUUGAAUAACAUACAAAGAUUCUAAUUAUAAAGAGACAAAAAAAUCAAGUUUAUAGUUGAUAUACAAUAGUUAAUCAACAUUAUUGAGAAGAAAAUUUCAAUGAAUAGACAAACACACAUAUGCAUGCACAUGCUCUAUCUUUUGAGGGACCGAGAAAAUUGAUUUAACUAAUUGCAAAUGUACUAUUACUGUCUUUAAUCCUAAGACUGAAGAAAAGCCAGUGGUAAAAAAAAUUCUUAAAAGAUAGCUAAUUGCUAAAAACAAAAAAAAAAUAUAACUGCUUAGAAAUCACGGGGUAGUAAAAUUUACUGGUACUUUUAUUGAAUGUAACUGUUUUA